Molecule: ribosomal RNA, 1161 nt
Filed under: Triticum aestivum (bread wheat)
Lineage: Eukaryota; Viridiplantae; Streptophyta; Magnoliopsida; Poales; Poaceae
Description: partial small subunit ribosomal RNA
Source: RNAcentral
AUGGCGAGCGGGGCGGACCGCAUCAGCGCCCUCCCGGAGGACAUCCUCCACCACGUGCUCCGCCUCCUGCCGGCUCAUGAGGUGGUGCGGACGUGCUUGCUCGCCCGCCACUGGCGCGGCGUCUGGAGGUCCGUGCCCACCCUCCGCUUCACCGGGGCCAAGGGGUGGGGCAGCGCCGACAUGUUCGCCCAAUUUGUGGACCACUUGCUCCACCUCAGGUACGAGGGCGACGGUCCGCCUCUGGAUUCCUGCGAUUUCGACUUUGAUUCCGACGGAUUCAUGCUGUUGCCCGCUAAGGAGUGGCAUGCGAGCACCUGGCUCUGGAAAGCCCUGCCUCGUGUUCGGGCUCUCCGGCUCCGGCUUCGUAUUGUCGACGAGCAGGAAGCCUUGCCACUAUCUUAUAUGCAUCUCUUCUCCCAGCACCUCACGAGAUUAGAGCUUGUUGGUGUCUCUUUCAACAACAGCGUCGCUGAUUUUUCAGGCUGUCCGGCAUUGGUGGAACUGAGUAUGGAUACUUGUGACGUCUUUAUGAAACAACUGCUGUCUCCAUCCUUGAAACAUCUGCGAAUUGCCCGCUGCUAUAUUUCUGAUCGUUACCGCAUUCUUAUUUCUCUACGAGCAUUGUGGUGCUUAACGAGCAUUGUGCUGAUCAAUGCUCUCAGGAUCGGCUUGAUAGUUGUGGUGCUGGGAGAAGAGAUAUUUGUUAUGGUUGUUAUUAUUAUUAUGGAGAUCCUGGACAUGGGCCUCAUUAUGACCGCAACGACUGCAUCUUUCUCAAAGGUUUAUCAGAAGCCACAGACUUGGAGUUGUCAGCUGAUUCUGUUGUGGGAUUUGAAGUGGUGCCCUACAUUUACCAAGUUAAAGACUUUGCUACUAAAUGAUUGGUGUUUGGCUGCUGACCACAAUGCACUAAUUUGCUUUCUCCAACACUCACCAAUUUUGGAGAAGCUUACCCUUCAACUUUCUGAGGGACCUUCAUAUGUAACUGAAGCAGAAGGAAUAUACAAACCAUUGGGACAGUCAGUUGCAUCCAACUGUCUUAAGAUUGUUGAAAUCGAAUGUGCAAAUGUUGAUAAAAAGGUUUCAAUUUUGUUUGCACUGGUUUCAGCUAAAACUAGAGGUACGAACAUAUGGACUGUUCUUAGAUUCAGGUCUCUUUAA